CCUACGGGAGGCAGCAGUAGGGAAUAUUGCUCAAUGGGGGAAACCCUGAAGCAGCGACGCCGCGUGAGGGAAGACGGCCUUCGGGUUGUAAACCUCUGUCGCAGGGGACGAAGGAGAUGACGGUACCCUGUGAGGAAGCCACGGCUAACUACGUGCCAGCAGCCGCGGUAAUACGUAGGUGGCGAGCGUUGUCCGGAAUUACUGGGUGUAAAGGGAGCGUAGGCGGGAUAUUAAGUUGAAUGUAUAAACUACCGGCUUAACCGAUAGAAGCGUUCAAAACUGAUAUUCUUGAGUGAAGUAGAGGCAGGCGGAAUUCCUAGUGUAGCGGUGAAAUGCGUAGAUAUUGCGCAGAACUCCGAUUGCGAAGGCAGCAUACCGGCGGCGAUCUGACGCUGAGGCACGAAAGCGUGGGUAUCGAACAGGAUUAGAUACCCGGGUAGUC
RNAcentral lists this ribosomal RNA (442 nucleotides) under uncultured bacterium. RNAcentral describes it as "partial 16S ribosomal RNA". It matches the Rfam family "Bacterial small subunit ribosomal RNA", at positions 338 to 795 of the family's 1533-position model. The record is from RNAcentral.